Molecule: ribosomal RNA, 253 nt
Filed under: uncultured bacterium
Lineage: Bacteria
Description: partial 16S ribosomal RNA
Rfam family: Bacterial small subunit ribosomal RNA
Source: RNAcentral
UACAGAGGGUGCAAGCGUUGCUCGGAUUUACUGGGCGUAAAGCGUACGCAGACGGCUCGGCAAGUCGGGAGUGAAAGCCCUGGGCUCAACCCAGGAACUGCUUCCGAUACUAUCGGUCUUGAGUUUGGGAGAGGGAAGCGGAAUUCCUGGUGUAGAGGUGAAAUUCGUAGAUAUCAGGAGGAACACCGGCGGCGAAGGCGGCUUCCUGGCCCAAUACUGACGUUCAGGUACGAAAGCGUGGGUAGCAAACAGG